This 1466-nucleotide ribosomal RNA is filed under the name Salmonella enterica subsp. enterica serovar Weltevreden. RNAcentral describes it as "partial 23S ribosomal RNA". It matches the Rfam family "Bacterial large subunit ribosomal RNA", at positions 711 to 2157 of the family's 2925-position model. Lineage: Bacteria; Pseudomonadati; Pseudomonadota; Gammaproteobacteria; Enterobacterales; Enterobacteriaceae. The record is from RNAcentral.
AGACCCGAAACCCGGUGAUCUAGCCAUGGGCAGGUUGAAGGUUGGGUAACACUAACUGGAGGACCGAACCGACUAAUGUUGAAAAAUUAGCGGAUGACCUGUGGCUGGGGGUGAAAGGCCAAUCAAACCGGGAGAUAGCUGGUUCUCCCCGAAAGCUAUUUAGGUAGCGCCUCGUGAAUUCAUCUCCGGGGGUAGAGCACUGUUUCGGCUAGGGGGCCAUCCCGGCUUACCAACCCGAUGCAAACUGCGAAUACCGGAGAAUGUUAUCACGGGAGACACACGGCGGGUGCUAACGUCCGUCGUGAAGAGGGAAACAACCCAGACCGCCAGCUAAGGUCCCAAAGUCAUGGUUAAGUGGGAAACGAUGUGGGAAGGCCCAGACAGCCAGGAUGUUGGCUUAGAAGCAGCCAUCAUUUAAAGAAAGCGUAAUAGCUCACUGGUCGAGUCGGCCUGCGCGGAAGAUGUAACGGGGCUAAACCAUGCACCGAAGCUGCGGCAGCGACGCUUAUGCGUUGUUGGGUAGGGGAGCGUUCUGUAAGCCUGUGAAGGUGGCCUGUGAGGGUUGCUGGAGGUAUCAGAAGUGCGAAUGCUGACAUAAGUAACGAUAAAGCGGGUGAAAAGCCCGCUCGCCGGAAGACCAAGGGUUCCUGUCCAACGUUAAUCGGGGCAGGGUGAGUCGACCCCUAAGGCGAGGCCGAAAGGCGUAGUCGAUGGGAAACGGGUUAAUAUUCCCGUACUUGGUGUUACUGCGAAGGGGGGACGGAGAAGGCUAUGUUGGCCGGGCGACGGUUGUCCCGGUUUAAGCGUGUAGGUGUGUGUUCCAGGUAAAUCCGGUUCACUUUAACACUGAGGCGUGACGACGAGGCACUACGGUGCUGAAGCAACAAAUGCCCUGCUUCCAGGAAAAGCCUCUAAGCAUCAGGUAACAUCAAAUCGUACCCCAAACCGACACAGGUGGUCAGGUAGAGAAUACCAAGGCGCUUGAGAGAACUCGGGUGAAGGAACUAGGCAAAAUGGUGCCGUAACUUCGGGAGAAGGCACGCUGACAUGUAGGUGAAGUGAUUUACUCAUGGAGCUGAAGUCAGUCGAAGAUACCAGCUGGCUGCAACUGUUUAUUAAAAACACAGCACUGUGCAAACACGAAAGUGGACGUAUACGGUGUGACGCCUGCCCGGUGCCGGAAGGUUAAUUGAUGGGGUCAGCGCAAGCGAAGCUCCUGAUCGAAGCCCCGGUAAACGGCGGCCGUAACUAUAACGGUCCUAAGGUAGCGAAAUUCCUUGUCGGGUAAGUUCCGACCUGCACGAAUGGCGUAAUGAUGGCCAGGCUGUCUCCACCCGAGACUCAGUGAAAUUGAACUCGCUGUGAAGAUGCAGUGUACCCGCGGCAAGACGGAAAGACCCCGUGAACCUUUACUAUAGCUUGACACUGAACAUUGAGCCUUGAUGUGUAGGAUAGGUGGGAGGCUU